AAUGAACGCUGGCGGCAGGCCUAACACAUGCAAGUCGAACGGGACCUUCGGGUCUAGUGGCGGACGGGUGAGUAACGCGUGGGAACGUGCCCUUUUCUACGGAAUAGCCUCGGGAAACUGGGAGUAAUACCGUAUAAGCUUGAGAGAGGAAAGAUUUAUCGGGAAAGGAUCGGCCCGCGUUGGAUUAGGUAGUUGGUGGGGUAAUGGCCUACCAAGCUGACGAUCCAUAGCUGGUUUGAGAGGAUGAUCAGCCACACUGGGACUGAGACACGGCCCAGACUCCUACGGGAGGCAGCAGUGGGGAAUCUUAGACAAUGGGGGAAACCCUGAUCUAGCCAUGCCGCGUGAUCGAUGAAGGCCUUAGGGUUGUAAAGAUCUUUCAGAUGGGAAGAUAAUGACGGUACCAUCAGAAGAAGCCCCGGCUAACUCCGUGCCAGCAGCCGCAGUAA
RNAcentral lists this ribosomal RNA (449 nucleotides) under uncultured bacterium. RNAcentral describes it as "partial 16S ribosomal RNA". It matches the Rfam family "Bacterial small subunit ribosomal RNA", at positions 29 to 523 of the family's 1533-position model. The record is from RNAcentral.